GAUGGAAUGUAUAGCGAAAGCUAAUUGUAUUAAAUAUAUACAAUACCGAUUUAUUCGGCUAAAAUUCUGGGUAGAGUUUUGACGAUGACAUUACCUACCUAUAUGUCUUGACCAAAUUCUGUGCCAGCAGUCGCGGCAAUACAAAGAAGACUUGUGUUAUUCAUGUUUAGUCGGUUUAAAGGGUAACUAGACGGUAAAUCAAGCCAUAUUGGGACUAAUUUACUAGAGUUUAAUAUAAGGGAGCAUUAAAGUACUGAUGGUGUAGAGAUGAAAUUCGUUGAUACCAUAUAUGGCACAGGUUUAGGCGAAAGCAUCUCCUUAUGUAAAAACUGACGUUCAGGGACGAAGGCUAUGUGCAGCGAAUAGGAUUAGAUACCCUAGUAGUUUUAGCAGAAAAUGAUGAAUGCCAUAGGGUAGUAAAUAUACAAUGAAGUUGUGGUAUGCUUCAUAGGGAAUGCUUUAGGUGGCAAUCUCUAUUGUUAUUGUAUAUUGUUAUUCUAUAAAUGAAAGUGUAAGCAUUCCACCUCAUGAGUAAUUUGGCAACAUUGGAAUUGAAAUCAUUAGACCGUUUCUGAUACAAGCAGUGAAGUAUGUUAUUUAAUUUGAUAAUCCGCAAAAAACCUUACCACAUUUUGAAUAUUGCUUUAAAGUAUUACAAGUGCUGCAUGGUUGUCUUCAGUUAAUGUCGUGAGACUUUGGUUAACUCCACCUAAUUAACGUAAACCCUAAUUUUAUUUAUUAAUAGAUUAGAUCCCCUUUAUAUUGGAUAUGAUACAUGG
Molecule: ribosomal RNA, 779 nt
Filed under: Leprocaulon adhaerens
Lineage: Eukaryota; Fungi; Ascomycota; Lecanoromycetes; Leprocaulales; Leprocaulaceae
Description: SSU rRNA
Rfam family: Bacterial small subunit ribosomal RNA
Source: RNAcentral